CGAGGGCCCUCCAGGGACAGGAGGGGAUGCUGCAGUCCCUGCUAGUGGAUUCCCAGCUCCUGGGAGCCCACCUAGCCUGAAGGCAGUGAUGUGCCAGAGCUGCAGCCUCAGGACAGGUGGACAAGGAACAGGAGGAAACUGCGAUGUUGGGUGGAAAAUCUGAAGUCAUUAAAAUGGAAGAGGAAGUCACAGAGCUACAUAAAGGGCAAAAAGCUCUGCAGAAUCGUUGAUGCUGAGACAGCGGGAGCCCUGCUCAGGAAAAUCUCUGCUGCUGUGGAAGGUCCCAAGAGGAGGUGGGAAAGCAUUAUACCUUGCAGUUUCUGCUUGGCAGAGAGAGAAGGAGCCCUGUAACCACCAUCAUGCCUGGCUGACCACGGGGCUGGCCGUGUGCUGUGUGAAGGGCUUGGCACAGCUGAUGUCCUGUCCUUGCUGUGGGCGCCUGACCACGAUGGAGUCCCGAAGCCCUGGUGCCUUCCAGAGGUGCUCUGAACAGGCUGUACAUACUAAUGCAGAUGCUUUGGAAAGAACACUUGGGCGUACGGGAGGCGGCCACAGAUAGGGAGGAACAAUGGCACCUCAGAGGUAAUCACAGCAUCCAUGGGAUCCUGAAUUUGUACAGAGGAAGCUGCCACGUGGAGACCAAAUAAAAAAGUUUUCCAGGGCUCUGGAGAUCAAAGGGAGUGCUGACAAACUUCUCACGCUCCAGCUGCAACUGGAAUGUGCUCAGCCGGCGGCAGAAGAGUUUCUUGUUGCGUGAUUGUAUCGCUC
Cuculus canorus (common cuckoo) is the source of this 768-nucleotide long non-coding RNA. RefSeq lists it as uncharacterized. The transcript is spliced from 5 exons. The record is from RefSeq and is a predicted model, not a curated record. NCBI's taxonomy places the organism in Eukaryota, Metazoa, Chordata, Aves, Cuculiformes, Cuculidae.